UACGGAGGGGGCCAGCGUUGUUCGGAAUCAUUGGGCGUAAAGGGCGCGUAGGCGGCUUUGUAAGUCCGUUGUGAAAUCCCUCGGCUCAACCGAGGAACUGCGACGGAUACUGCUUGGCUUGAGUCCCGGAGAGGGUAGCGGAAUUCCCAGUGUAGCGGUGAAAUGCGUAGAUAUCUGGAGGAACACCGGUGGCGAAGGCGGCAUUCUGGACCGACAUUGACGCUGAGGAGCGAAAGCCAGGGGAGCAAACGGG
RNAcentral lists this ribosomal RNA (253 nucleotides) under uncultured bacterium. RNAcentral's name for it is "partial 16S ribosomal RNA". It matches the Rfam family "Bacterial small subunit ribosomal RNA", at positions 524 to 776 of the family's 1533-position model. The record is from RNAcentral.